GUGAGCUCGAGCAAAGACGAACAAAACGGUAAGAAUUACUUUGAAAUGACAUAAACUCAAAUCAAACCAUGUGACAAUUUGUUAAUUGAAUUGUGUGCACACAAGUUAGAAAACAACUACCAUAAAUGCAAUGAAAGCAAAUUUAUUUCAACCACAAAAGUGUGUAAUGUGAUUCUUCUAAACUGAAACAAAUUUAUUAUGGUGGUUGAGGCCACCACAGACCCGGUUAGUUGAAUAUAUCCUUUAUUUAGUCUAACAAAAAAGCUUUUGCUCAGAAAUAAGACAAAAACACUUAUCCAGAUUUAAGCGUUUGUACCGGAACCUCCAAGGACAGAACUCAGACUUCUGGAAAGUAAUUUAUACACAAGUUUGCUUUUAAAGUUAUGAGGCAAAAUAUAGCAAAAUCAGUAUUUUACUCCAAACUUCAUUUUGCACAUAAAAUAAUCACUGUGGCAAAUUUCUAAAUGCGGCUCUAAAGACAAAAAAGCUUUUGUGAAGCAUAAUAAGAAUUAUCCUCUUUUUGAUUUAGCUUUUGAGAUUACCUGAAAUCUUUUAGGGGUUUUAUCAAAAACAUAAUUGUACCAAGCAAUGAAGGACCUUCUCUGGCUCAUGGACUGCCUCAACACCAUCUGAUGUAAGUACUUACAGUCAUCACCACAGCUUACAUUGAUAAACUUUUAUGAUUCACUUAGGUUUAACUGUGCCAUUGAAGGUGGUAAGACUGAUUCUUUUACGUCAAGGUUGCCAACCCUGAAAAUCUCUUUUUUUUUCUUGGAAGCUGCUCGCUGUUAUUAUUCUCAGCUGGUUUUAGCCACAAAGUCAGCUACUCCAAAAAACAAGUACAUAUCAAUAUGCUGAUAAUGGAUGAAACAAACUGUAAACAGCAUCUGAAUAAUUCAGAGGUGUGCUGUGGUAUAUCAUUUUUAUAGGUGGACAGAGUCAGGCUGGUUAUUUCUCCCUGUACUCACAGUCCUAACACUUCGAUUGGUCCACAAUGUCCUAACUACACUCAGCUAAAAGCGAUACUGAAUCUUUUUAUCAUAAAAAUGGGCAUGCAGCAUCUUUUACAGGUCAUUUAAUUUGCAUAAUCAGGACCAUGGGCUUUACAGACAGAAUCAUGGACAGAAAAGUGUGUUUUUUUGUUGUACCGUUAACUGACAAUAAGGGUUGGGAUGAUGUUAUCAUAGUAGAAUCCUUGGUAUAAUCAUAAUAUAUUUUGUUUAUAAGCCCCUAUCUCAACAUUUAAGAUCACUUUACAGAUAAAAACAGUUCGAUAAAACAACCAGAUAAAAGCAAACACGGUAUAAAAUGGAACAAAGUGAUUACAGAGUAGGCUUUUCUUAAAAUUUGGGUUUUGAGUCUAAUUAAGAGUAGUUGCUGUUUUUUUGUCACACUGAUAGAAUAUAACUUUCAACAUCAUUAGAAAUGUGUGAUAACAUGUGAGUAAGUCAGUUGUGUUUAUUAGUUAAGUUUCCAUGUCGCUCCACCAUUGACUUGCCUUUCAUUGAUUUUACUGGAAGUGUUUACUGUGAUCACCACAACAGAGGCAAAAAGUUGUUUGUAACACAAAUUUUCACUCACAAUUUGUGACGCAACCGGAUCACACUGGUUAUAUCAAAUCAAUCCACAGAAGAGAGGCGCAGUUCCCCUCUGCCUGUUGACACUAUGGUAAAACAUUUGGUUCUGUGAGCAUUUGUUUCUGUUUAAGACAAAAACAUUAGUGGUUUGUUGGUUCCCUAAAUUAGGGUGACCAUACGUCCUCUUUUACCCACUUUUUGGGGGGCUGUCUGGCCUUGUCCAACUUUGUCCGGGGAAGUUUAUAAAAUCCUUCAAAUGUCCGGGGUUUUGUAUGGAAGUUUUGAGAUCGUGACCCAUGGACUUACUGAGUUGGAAGCGUGUAAAGAACACUUAAUCUGACCCGGAAAACUUUCAAAAUUAACUAUGCAUGGACUCUGUGACUCCUCGUCUUGGUGAUUCAGAAUAUGGCCACCCUACUUAAAUCAGCCAGGCAGCUGGGCUUUUGAGGCGAGAAUGACUCAAGGACCACAGCUUCCCUUCUCUUCACUCUGGCUAGUGUUUAGGAUGGGAAAAUAAGAGUUGGUGGACACGGAUGUAAAGGCAGCCUGAGGAGGAUCCAGAUCAUCGCUCAACAGGAACAAGGGAGAAACAUCCUAUCCUACAAUCCAGGCAAUGGCAGCAGAAUCACAAAUGUAUCCUUGAGUUGCUAUUCAAUGCAAAGAGUGGGUGUGAAAACAACAAAUAUUUUAAAAGUUCUUCAGAAGCGUCUACUCCAGGGGCGCCGCUGGCCCUGCAGUCUGAGUGCGUACCACAUACACUGAGCUUAUGCCUCAAGCAGUCAGCCCAAGUUCGCUUCAAAGUAGAAUAACCGGAAUGAGAACAGCAAUGCCAACAUAAUUACUCCUGCAGAAAUCCUGUUCACCUUAUUAAAUCACUUUGCAAUGGAAAUGUUUACUUGAAUAUGAAUCAUAAUUAAUAAGCAGGCUCAUAUUUUAACUUGACCCUUAGUUCAUGCCUUUAUACACACCAUACACACAAGUGGAAAUGAGGCGUUAUUUGUCCUGUACAAAGGCUCUGGGACCGCUUCACUUCACCACCCAGGUCUACUCUAAACAGCACACCUACCAGCUCACUGUACAUCAACCCCCCACCUCCCAACAGACACACAUGAUCGGUGUUUUCACAGGCCGUAAAAAAAACUCAAAUUGCUUUCUUGUAAAGUAGUCUGUAUGGAGCCUUUUGUCCACAUUUCAUGGCCACUUCAGGUUCACUGACAUAGUUCAAAGGUUGAGGAGUGAGGAGAGAGAUAAAUACCUCUCAAAGCCAUUCACACCGCUCCUUUAAUCUACAAAGAAAACAAGAAAAAAGAACAAGAAAAUCACACAGUUGGAAGAUGAUACAUCUACCACUUUGAUAUGGUUGAGCUUCUGUUACCUUUUACCAACUUUUUAUCACCCAGCCUGAGAUUCUUUGACAACUUCAUGGCGUUGUAUUUUAUUCUUUGACAUGACGAAUGACUAAACUGGUCCAUCCAUCUCCUCAGUCAUUACAACAGAAAUCCGGCUGUCCAAAAGGCUCGGCUAAUCUGUGGGCGUUCUAGUAAGGGGAUCACAUCUAUCAUGUUACACACCUGUGCUGCUGUUCUUCACUACAGAGGCAAGGUCAAGUUUCGCACACACACACACACACACACACACACACACACACACACACACACACACACACACACACACACACACACACACACACACACACACACACACACACACACACACGCAUACAUGGUUGGCUUCAAGCAACUGGUGUUAUAAAACUCUCAACCCAAUAAACUGCAAGGUCCCAAGAGCUAAAAGGACACAGCAUUUAAGACUAAGCAUUCAAAACAUUUGUGCAGUAGUUUGUUGAUCAUUAAAUGGCAAAAAUGCCAAGAUCUCAUCUCAUAUGAUUCACACAGUGUAGAUGUCAUCUUCCUGUCACUUUGACUUCAACACUAAUGCUGCGUUCGAGUUACCUCCGAAGUCAGAUGUCAGAGCUGGGAAUGAUGUCACAUCCAAGUUACCAGUGUUUCAGUUACCGAGUCGGAAAAAAGCAAAAUCAGAGGCGGAAACAAGAUGGCUACAUCUACGAAAGUUAUUUAAGCGCUUAUCUUGUCCUUGCUUAUAUUCAGGCAAGGGCUAAAAUAACUUGUGUAGAUGUAGCCAUCUUGUUUCCGCCUCUGAUUUUGCUUUCUUCCGACCUGGCUGGUAACUCGGGUGUGACAUCAUUCCCAGCUCGGACUUCUGACUUCCAAGGUAACUCGAACACAGCACGAGAACUGUAUUUUUAAUUUCAGUAAUACAAGAAAAAUGUGUGUUUUAAGCCAUGAUAGCAGUCUGGGUUUGGGUUGACUGGUUUAAUAAUUAUGCAAGCUUGUUUGACACCAGAUACUACUUUAAAGACUGAAGUCUGACCCCACAUAAAAAAGCCCAGACAGACAAACACAGAGGUUUGAAGCUGAUUAAAGAGGGUUAAAAGGUUUUAUUUUAUAAGGAUAUGAAGAGGUAAAUAAGACAAAGCUGGGAUAGCUGGGAUCAUGUUAAAUGGACACAUUACAUUAAACUAUCAAGGAAACAUGAGCGCAACCAAAUACCAAACAAAGACACACUCUUUGUGUAUUAUCUUAAAAUAUGUCAGAAUAAUAAAUGACAUCAUAUUAGCAUAGCAGUGUUGUUGCGGUCAAAGCACAGCUGCUUAAAUUUGUCAUGGGCCUCAAGACAUCUAAUAUUAAGAGAAAAAACUUCAUCAUGCUCUCGAUGAUGAUGUUCAAAUAACGCACAGAUAAUGUUUGAAAGUAGUUUAAAAUUCCUAAUCAUACACGGAUUAAUCCUGCAUAGAUAAGCUCUGUAUCGUAGUUGACACACAUUGUACGUUCAGAAGUAUCUAGAGUGCCUCUCGGUCUGCUUUUGUCCUAGAUCACUGUGUGAUUUUAAAUGCACUGCUUUUAAUUGAAAAGAAACAGGUGAUUUGAUCAAUCAAGGUUGAUGCCAGGCUGACACCACCGCCUGAAAAUGUAUUCCGCCCAUUUCCAUCUGCACCACUCACACAAAACACGCCUCUGGCAGUCGGCUUAAAAGUCAGACACUGUGCCCUUGUGCUGUGUGCCUUUGACUGAAACUGAGCCAAGCACCAUUAGUUCACAUGAAUAAAAGCCUCUGAGACUUCAGUUUGAAAGAUUUAUGUCACAAAACUAAAUUGAUACAACCACAUGUGUAUUAUUCUCUGUAGCAAUAUUAUAGAAUUUAAAGUCGGAGUGUAAAAAAAUCUACCCUGAGAUUUUAUCUACCUUAUGUCAAAUGUGGAAGACCCAGCAGCCUUUGCUGUUCAACCCAAGUACUGUGGGUCAUUGGUGUCCUGACACAAACCGGCCAAGCAGAUGGUCAUUUGUUAAAAUAAAUUACCCACCAUGCAUUUCCCUGAUGGGGAUCGCCUGAAUAGGAGAGAGAACAUUUGUGAUGCAAGAGGUAUGCCGUUCGGCUCAUGAGGUUGUUUAAAAUCCUCAACGGAGACGACUACUAGUGCUACUUUUGAGGUCAAACUGUGACUCAGAUUCUUCUCAUUACUCACAAUUUGUGAAAUGACAAUCAUUAAUUAUAUCCUUAAAUUUAUAUUUCUUUCUGUUUUUACUAAUUUGACCAGGAGUAUGUUCAGACUUUUUGAUGAGAGAGGUAUAACUCGGGCACUGACAUAGGCAGUGCCUCACAUAUAAAUUAACUGCAUUUGCCCUCUAGGUCUUCAUUGCCUACUUUAUUAUGUGCAUAUCACACAGCUGUUCAGCUGUUCCUUGUCCCUAACAAGGCAAAUAGCCAUUGAUAGCAUUGGUUAUUUGGAUUUUGGGGCCAGUGCCACCCUUUGCCAUCCCUGUUGAUAUGCUCCUGAAUAUCAUAAUUAAAAAACUUCUCUGUGGCCACAGAUUUUCCUGGUGUGCAAAAUCUCUGCCACAAUCAAUAGACAUGGAUUUCUGAUCAACCACCAUUGUUCGACAACACAAACAUGCGCACGGACGCAUUCCGUUCACAUUAGAUGCCGCAUUCGUUUUUGUAAUGUGAACGACCGCACAAAAAGAUUUAACCAAAAAAUCUGAAUUGUGCAUCAUAACCUGCAGUGUGAACGUAGCAAAAGUUGGCUAAAUGAAUCGUACCAUGACAACAAAAACUGAAAAUCUCUGUAUAAUGCUCAUUUAAAUAUCAUAUUUUCAUUUGGCAUUGAUGAUGGUAUGCAUUAGGUCCUGACUUCACAGAAAAUGGCCAUCUUUGCUAAUGAUAAACACUAUAAAGCCUUGUGCUGGAAAAGGACACUUUUGGUACUUCAAGCUGACUAUAAACUUACCCAACAGUUUAUUUAUUUAUUUACUUGUUAGUUUGUUUUUUCAUCAUACUUGAAUCAGUAAGGGGCUUGCCAUACAAAACUUAAUGUCAGUUUGCACUUUUACUUUCAUUUAACUACAUACAUGUGACUUCAAUAUGUUAUUCGCAUCCGACCUUAUUCUCUGAUCUGUGAAAACAAAAACUUUGUAUAUCAGCACCAUGUGUAAGAACAGCAGAGGCUCACAUAAAAACUUCUAAGAAACUAAAUAAAACUACAUACAAGCUGUACACAGCCAGUACGGCUCAGGUUAUACGACACUUUGGAGACCAUCCUUAUUGCUGCUGAGCCCAUAUGUCUGGAUCUUGACUGCUGAUAGCUGACAUUUCAUGCCAGUAAAGCACUCCAUUUUGAUCUUUGAAAAGUAAUGCUGUUUUACUUGACUUUACUUUUAAUUCCAACUUUCAAAGAUGUGGUCACAACACAAAAUAACAGACUGGACUCAAAACAUAAGUAUUUAGUCAGUCAGUUGCAUUUUGCCCUUACAAAGCAAAAGUGGGUCUAUACUACUUCAUAUCUACGCUCUGAAUGACGUCUGAAAUCACAUCUUAAAGGGCUACAUUGCCAAAUUGGCCGUUUGUUGCCAAUAACAACAGGAUUAACCAAGGCACAAAAAUCCUUAACACCACAAUCAGUAUCCUGCAAAUGAAGUAUAUGUUGCAGUAGAUGAUGUCCUGCAUUCUGUUGUUCCUUUAACAGAUACUCGUACCUAAAGUUAGGCAUCACCUUUACAGCUGCCUCAAUCUCUAAUGUGUCCGACAGACUAAAGGCACAAAGCAAAAUCACCAACUUUUAAUGUAGAUGCUCUGAAAUGUAAGUUACACCUGUAAGUAUUUCCAUGGUUUGAAAACAGCAUAAUAUCUUUAUCAUUAUUUCCAUGGGGCAAAUUUAUAACAAAUGUUAUUAAAGGAUAGUUUACUGAAAGAAUCUUGUCAUAUUACUCACAGAGAGCCAAAAUAAACCUACCAGAAGUCAAGCAUAGUUUGGAGGCAGUGUAGGUUUCUGAUUUGGGUGCAUUGUAGAGGAAAGUAGAAAUGAUUUCUGACAAAAUGACAUUAUUCAGGGCAGAAAUUAGUGCUCUCUGAUGAAUGGAUUGGUGUACUUGCCACUACCCAUUCUUGCAUUAUCAAAGGUAACACUGAUAUCAUUAUUGGAACAAUUCUGAGGUGAAGAUUAUCAAACUAGCUAAGAAUUGUAAGAUAUUGGGAGGUCUGAAUUGAAAUCAUUGUGUUUAUGAGAGAAACUGACUCAAAAUUUUGUUUUUAUCUACAGGUAAUGAACUCUUAUUUCCCUAAGAUCACGAUUCAUUUGUGGUCUGUUGCAGUCUGUUUAAAGACCAUAACUACAAUACUGUUAUAAUAAUGAGCAUCUAUAAGAAUACAAGAGGCUACAGAGAAAUAAUAACUAAAGAAAACAAGAGGCUUUGCAUCGUCUAUCUGUGCCCAAAUCUGUAAGGUUUUACAUCUUCCUUAACAUUUGGCUUCCAAAACAACUGUUCAUAUAAGACAGAUCUCAGUUAUUACAUGCUCUGUAAUUCUAUAUAAAAGAAGCCUAUAGAAAUAGUUAUACUGCGUAGAUUUAUCACCAAGACAUACAUCCAUUAUGGGUUUGUAAAACACACAAUAUGUAACACACAAACAUUUUUCUUUUCAUAGUUGCUCUAAAGCUAUGUGAAGAUGCACAGAAAAUAACCGGCUCUGUGUAACACUCUUUGAACUCAACAGGAAAAAAUACCUGACAGGGAUUGUUGUGCUGUGGGGUGUUGAUCCAUGCAUUACCAUUCCCAGUGAAUUUCAAUAAAGUCUAAAUAUAGUUGUUUUUUUUCCUCAUUCCAAAUUUAGGUUAGUGGGACGCAGGAAAAUGUCUUGUCUUUAGCUGUAGUCCCUCAGGGUUUGUAGUCUCAACAUCAAAGCACUGCUAGCUGAAGCUUUAGAAGAGGAUACACAGUUUUCUUAAACACACACGCAAACACACACAAACCUUUUUCUUUCUUUCUUUGCUGAAGAAAUAACUAGCCAGCGGGCAAAAAGUAGCAAAGAAACCGUGAACGUUCAUUAUUAGAUAAUCUAAGAAUUGUUUUGAUAAUUUUACCUCAACUGUGUAUUCUCAUGUAAGUUUAACGAUUAUUCAACAAUUAUUUAUUAUUCCCUUGACUGACUCUAAAGCAACCCCCAUUCAGAACUGGUACUGCACUGCUCAUUUUGUGCAGAAGGCUAAGUGAGUUACACAAGCAUGGAAAAAUGUUGGGUUGGCUACUUCAAGCUCUUAAAACAUAUUUAUAUUAGCCUUUCAAAUAUGACUUAUUAGAAUUAUUUUUGCCUUUGACAAUUGAAACUGACCCCCAGACUUAACACAAAAGGAAAAAUAAUUUUAAUAAGUCAUAUUUGAAAGGCUAAUAUAAAUAUGCUUUAAGAGCUUAAAGUUGCCAACCCAACAUUUUUCUAUGCUUGUGUAACUCACUUACCCUUCUGCUCAAAAUGAGCAGCGCAGUACCAGUUCUGAAUGGGGGUUGUUUUAGAUUCAGUAAAGGGAAUAAUAAAUAAUUGUUGAAUAAUCAAUAAACUUACAUGAGAAUACAUGGUUGGAUUGGCAACUUUAGGCUCUUAAAGCAUACUUAUAUUAGCCUUUUAAAUAUGACUUACUAAAAUUAUUUUUUUCUUUGACAAUUGAAACUGACCCUGAGACUUCACACAGAAGAUAAAAAAAUGCAAUUUUAUUAUGAACACAACAACAAAGUUUUAAGGGAACUUUUUUAUUUGACUUUUAAAAAAAGUUAUUUUGUCAUGAAAAUUCCCCUAAUCUCAUAGAAUUUCUGGAGGAAAUGUAGAAGAAACCACAUAAUCAUGGUACACAUGACAAGAGAAGAUAGAGUAGAUACAGUUAGUCCAAAUGCUUAUGCUAACAAGGUGUCACUGCUGACAUUAUAGACAAAAACGCACAAGAUGCAUGUUUGGCGCAUUUGGUCACGGUUGCAUUCCAGCUCUGUUGGGCAAGUUACAUCGUCGCCUACUAGAGGCAUCUGAUAUGGAUUUUGGUCAUGAAUGUGUCCAGAAACUGAGAGGUUUUGGCAUAUUCCAGUGGUCACCAAUUAUAAGAACAACAGCAGCAUCGGAUCACAUUCACCUAAUAUUACAGUUAUUAUUUUUAGGAAAGUGGAAAGAUCUGCUCCAAGAGUAGCUGUCUUAAUACAAAUGAUUCUUAAGUCACAGAGAAGUUAAAAAUGACUUCUAACAUGAUGGUGUCUAUACAAUACAAUACAAGACAAAAACUUUACUGAUCCCCAAAGGGAAAUUUAUUAGAUGUGAAUCCCAAGAGUACAAAAGAAAAAUGUUACAUGCCCCAGGUUUGGUAAACCUGAUGUAUGGUACUAUAUUAGUCAAAUAAUUCAAUAAAAUCAUAUAGACUCAAAAUCUCAGCCUUUAUGAUACCAAGACAACCUUCUGCAGAGUCCAUAGCAACACAAUAAACUGCUAUUGUUGUGGAGAUAUAGAGUGAGUAAGGUCAAACUUCCAUGUGGUCUCUCUUGCCUCCACUAACUCUUUCACCAGGUAACCUGAUGCCUAAGCUUCCCAUCUGCUCGGCCACAGUGGCCUGAUACACUCAACUCAGGAGCUUAGAAAGUGUGAUUCAUGAAUGAUGACUGCAGAGUCUGACUCACAGACAGUAGACAAAUCCAACGACUGCUCAUAUUUUAAAAUAGUCUAUGCUUUUUCUAACCAAGACCGUGAAACUUUCCCCUGCAAAGAUAGAAUGACUGUGAGCACUUGUCUAAAAAUACAGUUGCACGUCAUGAACUUAUGAGGAGUACUUAAGUUAAACCAAUUGAGAGUAUGAUUUCCAGCUCUCCCACACUUUGUUCAAUGCCGAGGGAUUGCACAGUGCACUAAAUUUCUUCUGCUAACAUUUUAAACCCUUGAACUCUAACAUUUGUUGGUUUUCACCCAUGCGAUUGUGGUGUUAUAAUUUUUGUGUUGCUCCAGUCGGCAAUCUUUAUCUAUGCAUAUUUCUUCUAAGUGAUCUAGCUAGCUUCAUAUGAACUUGUUGUGACAUCAACAUGAACUUGCAACAGCUAGUUGGUAACUACAGCUGUGCAAGAAGAACCAAGUGGUGGCCACUAGUGUUGUGUCCCAUGGCAUGAUGAACUCUGGUGUUGACCAGUGUGUCUGGCCACUGUUACCCUGCUUUACUGACUGUAUGUAUGGCAUAAGGUAGGUUAGAGUGGUCCUGGAAUUUGUAUGUAAGCCUUAUUUAGUGUGAUGUCUAGGAGCACUUUAAGGCCCUGCUUAUACAUACCCAGUUAUUUUUAAAAACUGACACAUUAGCCAUCGUAUGUACCCUUCAUGUAGACCGAACAGAGAAUUCACCUCUGAAAACGAUGCUUUUUAAAAACUCUGGCUAGAGUAGAGAUUUCGGGAACGCUGGGGACACUGGAAGGGACGCUGUUGUUGUUGAUGCUAUGCGAGAUUCUGAUUGGCUAACGUGGGCUUCAGCAUCUUGCUACACUGCCACCCACAUGCUUCGUAUGUUCUAGAUGACAUAUAUACACAGGUUAGUGAAAACGAAACCUUUUCUGAAAACGUAGCUGUGUGCACACAGUUUUUUUUUUUAAAACAGCGAGGGUGAAAUGUCCAUUUAUGAAAAUAGCCAGGCACGUGUAAACGUACUCUGAAACAGCCACAGAGAGAUAACUCACCAGCAAGGAGAACAGGGCCCGGUGAGGGGUCCGGUGUCUUAAAUUGUCUUCUGAUUGGGAGAUUGAAGGGGAGAGUGGCCAGAUGACAUGUUGCUGUCAGAUCCUAAGAUGAAUGGAGGCCCUGAAUGGGACAUCCAUCUACCAUAAAUUGAAACAUACAGUAUAAAUGCUCUGGCAACUAAUUUAUGGUAACAUCAAACAUGCCUCACUGAAGUUGCUCUAACUUGCAAUUCCACAGGCACUUCUGGCUCCUACAAUAACAGUGCAUACAUGAUGUGAAAGUUUCCUUACAUUAAGUAUGAUGGCAGCUCAAGUUUUGGUAUUUUUAUAUGGAAUCCCAACAGGGUGAGGUAAGCCUCCGAUGUGUUAUUUUAUCCUGUUAGGAUUUUAGUUUGCAGAAGAAAAAGAAAACUUUUCAACAAUAUGCACUUUUCUGCUAAAAAUAAGUUCAAAUCAAAAUUUCCCCACUCUACAGUUUCCAACACCCACAUACACAAAACUACAAAAUCAUUAAUAAUAAAAUCAUUAUGAUACUUAUAAUAAUGUGGUGCUGAUGUGCCAAAAGAUUAAGUAUCUCCUUAUUUGAGAAACCUAUAUUAAGGUACAUUUCUACAAAGUGCUUCAUGGCUCUCGUUUCAACUAUUGUCCUCUUAAAGACAGGUUAGAGUACAAGGACUUUAUUCUGACUUUACCCUCGUAAGUGAUUACUCAACUAUGACUUUAUUCUCGUAAGUAAUGAUUUAACUACAACUUUAUUCUCGUAAGUCAUGAUUUUAGUAUGACUUUAUUCUCGUUAUUACAUUUUUACGACUUUAUUCUCGUUAGUAAUGACUUUAUUCUCAUAAGUUAAUGACUUUAAUCUCCAAGUCUUCUUUUUUUUUCUCAAUGUGGCCCUAACACUCCGUCGUACAAAACAUCUUAAUUGUUUAUCUUUUUUUUCUUUCCCCUUUUCUUUAUUUUUUGAAACAGAGUUAUUCAAAUGUUGCACAGACACUUUUCCUAAACAAGGACCAAACAGUUCCUGAAUGAGCCUGGUCUGAAAUGACCAGUGGCCGGUGGCAACCAGUGUAGAGAACUGCCUUGCCUCAUUGAACCACUUAUUUACAUGGUGUUGUUAUAUGCUUACUUGUAGCACAAAAUCAUUUUUUUAAAGAAGGUAGUGGUAUAUUGUGAUGGCCCUUAUCAGAGUCAUCUGAUUUGAUACUUCUCCUUUUAACAAUUGUCAUUUUCUAUUUAAAUUUUGUGCUGUGAAGUAAACGUAAGCUUUACUCUUAGCUUGAUCAUUGAUGUCACACGGGUGGUAAUCGCUUUAAAUGUUUCAUACAGGAAAAGCCCUCAGACUGUCCUCCCCUCUGUUUGAAGCCGUGUCAGCUCAUUUCUGUCUCUGUGUCAGAUGGUUUUCUCAUUUACUGCGCCCACCUGCCAGAGAGUGCAAAAAGAAGACUUCAGCCAUCAAGCCAGAGCGGAAAGCCCAAGGAUGGAGGAGUACUGAGGCCCCUGGGAGGCCGUCAUCCUCGGGUUACCCCGCUGAACAUAACUCUCAGUUUGGACAAAAGAGACUGAUUAAAGCCAGAUAUGAGGAAGCCACAGUCAGACAGAGGCUGGAGGGCUGACAGGAACAGAGAGGAACUUAAGUGAACUUUAUGUAAAUUUUCGAGCAGUAAAGUGGUAAUGAAUGAAACGUAUCAUUUUGUUAAGUGCCGCUCAAGAAACCGAAACCAGAUGUUUCCUCCAGUUGCUACCCAAAAAAAAAGGAAUU
Xyrichtys novacula (pearly razorfish) is the source of this 12371-nucleotide non-coding RNA. The record is from the annotation of a GenBank genome assembly. Lineage: Eukaryota; Metazoa; Chordata; Actinopteri; Labriformes; Labridae.